Molecule: long non-coding RNA, 40058 nt
Filed under: Lathyrus oleraceus (garden pea)
Lineage: Eukaryota; Viridiplantae; Streptophyta; Magnoliopsida; Fabales; Fabaceae
Description: Pisum sativum (pea) long non-coding RNA (PSAT_LNC032156)
Source: RNAcentral
UAGAACCGGCAGCUGAUUUCAAGCAGUUACAGGCAGCCUGACGAUCCGGCGUGGUGGUGGCGGCAGCAAGAAGCUUCUUCACUCCUGCACAGCAUGGCGGUGGAGGACUGGCAUUAUUAGGAGCUUGAAGAUAAGUAAGGCAUGGAGCCAAAUCACCGGAUACAGUUCCACAUGACAAAGCAGCUUCUGCCAUAAGCUUGAAGAUAAGUAAGGCAUGGAGCCAAAUCACCGGAUACAGUUCCACAUGACAAAGCAGCUUCUGCCAUAGGCGCAAUAACUACCAUGCACAUCACCAAAGCAACACAUGCUAAUUUCAUGCUUCUUGCCAUUUUUGUUUUCUUUGUUUUCUAUUCUUUUUCUUAGUUUGUUUGAAUGGUGUGUAAUGUCUUUGUGGGAGGGGGUUUAUAUAGAAAAUAAGAUAAGGUGUGAAGAUGAAUAGAGUGAUGAAUUUUUGGUGAAUGUGCAUCAAAAUUGGGUGGUAGUUGUGAGUUCAAUUAAUGAUGUAUGGUCCAUUAUCUAUAAUUAUUGGAAUUGGAUCUCUACAAUUUUUUCUUCUCAUGUCUUCUCUCAUGUGCAAUUAUGCAUGGUUGAAUCAAUCUAAUAGUUAAAAAAUAAUAAAGAUAAAAAAAUAUCAUUUAAAAAAAUAGAGAAACAUAUGUUUAAUUUUAUUUAAUUUUUUUUCAUUUAUAAUUAGAGAAUACAAAAUAUCAUCGAAAAGACGACAACACUCAUAUAAUUUGUUGUUUCAUACGCUGUUUUUUUUUCAUUUUAAUAUCUUUAUUAAAUAAAUAUUUUUAUUUGAUAAUAAUUAAAAUAUUUAUAUAUAUAUAUANNNNNNNNNNNNNNNNNNNNNNNNNNNNNNNNNNNNNNNNNNNNNNNNNNNNNNNNNNNNNNNNNNNNNNNNNNNNNNNNNNNNNNNNNNNNNNNNNNNNNNNNNNNNNNNNNNNNNNNNNNNNNNNNNNNNNNNNNNNNNNNNNNNNNNNNNNNNNNNNNNNNNNNNNNNNNNNNNNNNNNNNNNNNNNNNNNNNNNNNNNNNNNNNNNNNNNNNNNNNNNNNNNNNNNNNNNNNNNNNNNNNNNNNNNNNNNNNNNNNNNNNNNNNNNNNNNNNNNNNNNNNNNNNNNNNNNNNNNNNNNNNNNNNNNNNNNNNNNNNNNNNNNNNNNNNNNNNNNNNNNNNNNNNNNNNNNNNNNNNNNNNNNNNNNNNNNNNNNNNNNNNNNNNNNNNNNNNNNNNNNNNNNNNNNNNNNNNNNNNNNNNNNNNNNNNNNNNNNNNNNNNNNNNNNNNNNNNNNNNNNNNNNNNNNNNNNNNNNNNNNNNNNNNNNNNNNNNNNNNNNNNNNNNNNNNNNNNNNNNNNNNNNNNNNNNNNNNNNNNNNNNNNNNNNNNNNNNNNNNNNNNNNNNNNNNNNNNNNNNNNNNNNNNNNNNNNNNNNNNNNNNNNNNNNNNNNNNNNNNNNNNNNNNNNNNNNNNNNNNNNNNNNNNNNNNNNNNNNNNNNNNNNNNNNNNNNNNNNNNNNNNNNNNNNNNNNNNNNNNNNNNNNNNNNNNNNNNNNNNNNNNNNNNNNNNNNNNNNNNNNNNNNNNNNNNNNNNNNNNNNNNNNNNNNNNNNNNNNNNNNNNNNNNNNNNNNNNNNNNNNNNNNNNNNNNNNNNNNNNNNNNNNNNNNNNNNNNNNNNNNNNNNNNNNNNNNNNNNNNNNNNNNNNNNNNNNNNNNNNNNNNNNNNNNNNNNNNNNNNNNNNNNNNNNNNNNNNNNNNNNNNNNNNNNNNNNNNNNNNNNNNNNNNNNNNNNNNNNNNNNNNNNNNNNNNNNNNNNNNNNNNNNNNNUUAAUUUUUAUGGGUUUAAAAAUAAAAAUCAAAUUUAUUUCAAUAUCCAACUGAUGAAAUUAACUAACGGUAUAAAAUUCUUUUACAUUGUUAGUGUAUAUCAAUUAAGAGUGUUUAAUUGUAUUGUUUUUGUUGAAUUUCAAUAGUUAUUUCAACCGAUGCUGAAGCUUCUCAAGAUACAAUGUUUGUGUGUAGAAGUUGAAAGGAAAAUUUGAUCAUUGGUGGAUUCCAUAACAUCCGUAAUGGGAUAUAUCAAUUCUCUUUGAGGUCGGAAGCUGAAGAUUGUUCAUUAUAUAUGAAAAUUGUGAGUUGCAAGUUUGGAAUAAAUGGCAAGUUUAAUCAUCCCAUUAGAUGGAAAAAUCAUGUUAUUUUUUGUUAUGUUGGUUUCAAUUAAAAUUUGCUUUUCAUGUAUAUCUCUUUAGAUAUGACAUUCUUAAAAUUCAUGAUUUAAACUAUAUUUAUACUUACGAUAAUAACAGUUCCAUUCUGGUUGAACUGUUUGUGCCUCAGUUUAAUUUUGCAGUUCAAUGAGUUCAAUGACUUCCUUAACAACACUCUUGAUUUUAAAGAUAAUGUCAAAGAUAGAGGGAUGCUAUGGUGGACUAAGUUUAAAACUUUUAAAGAAAAUAGCAGAAAUUGAUUAUUUUCCAUGUAAUAAUAAAACAAAAUAUUUAAAAUAUUUUUUAGUUUAUGUGAUUAAUAUAGAUUUUUAUUUAUAUUUUAUUUAUUUAUAAACCUAUCAUUAUUAAAAAUUAUUAUACAUUAUUGAGUAAUCACAAUACUAUUUAUUAAGAGUUAUUAAGAAUCAUUAUUUUUUAUAAUUAUAUUUUUUAAUCUCUUAAUAAUACUAUUUUUUUAGACUAAUGUUAAUAUAUGCCCCAAAAACAUAAGUUAAUGACUUAUUUGUAAAAAUAUUCUCUUAGAAUACGUGCAUUUAAUUUUUUAAAAUUUAAAAUAUUAUUUUAUUUCACAUAAAUUUUUUAUUUGUAGUAUCCUUAACUUAUACCUGAAAGACACAAGUUAGCAAGACCCUAUUUUUUAAUUAUUAUAUAAUUAAUCUUAAUAAAUCUACUAUCAUAAUCAGAUAGUAGAUGACCACCAAUAAAUUAAAUCCAAACUUAAACUAAGUUAAUUGUAAGUUCCACUUACUUUAAUUGUUUUGUUUUUUUCAUUUAUAAAUAUUUUCAUUUACCAAUGCUUAUUAAAUGAAAAUAAUUUAAUUAAAUAUCUUAUUUAAUUGAAACAAUUCAAAUAUUAAAUAUAAAUAUAUUCACACAACUAAUUGCAAUAAUAACAUCUUCUAAUAAACACAAAUAUACAUGUUUUUACAUUUUCCCAAUGACUUAUGUUUGUUCUUUUAUCAUAACCUUUCCUUUUACCAAAUGCAAUAAAUGACCAUUGAUUAUGAGUGAGCAUCUUGAAAACAGUUCCCUCAAUAAACUUCUCCCUAUCCAAUAAAUCCUACGAAUAACAAGUAAUUUAAAAUGUUAAAAGUAUUUUUCUUUGCUUAUUAUUAACAAAUUCAUUAUUAUUAAUUAAUUAUAUUUUAACACGAUACUAUUUUAUUUUUAUCACAAGUUAUCUCUUUUAAUCACCAAUUAUCUCUUUUAUUUUCAAAUGUCAAAAUUUAUUUUCACGGGUCACUAUCAACACAAUACUAUUUUAUUUUAAUCUCAAAAUUUUAUGUAAUAACAAUUACAAAUGAAAGUUCAAAGUUAUGCUCAAGAUAUUGUAAUGGGUUGUUGUACACCUUCUUUCAAAUCUUCAACCUUCUUUUAUAGAGGUAUAAAAAGAGUUGUUUGGGGGGUUUGAACAUAAGAGAGCAAAUUCAGUGAAGAAACAUGCCAAGAGAGACGUUGGAGAAUGUAUAUGGUUAGAAGAAUUUUCCACUAAAUAAUGGAACUAUUCACAACACCUUUUGAAGUACUGGGUAUCUACCAAAAUGUAGAACAAACUAAAGAGGUUACAUCACCAUUCCUUGAGUCUUGUAAAAUGAAACCCUAGUUUACACUGUCUAGAAAUCUGGGCUUUGACACGACUAGUCUGCUUUGGUACAAUGUACGCAUCAGAGGCUUUUCAAGUCUUCAGAGUCUGAGCUGUCAGCAAAGGAUGGGACACAUGACCAAAGUCUAAACCUUCAGAGACUGAUCAACACACUAAGAGUUAUUAGAUUUUGAUCAAUCGAAAUCAGAGUUAUAUUGCUUCUCCACAUAUGCUUUCAACAUGAUUAAUUUAGAAUGAAUUCUUUGUUUGUGAUCCUGCACACUUGAACAUAUGUUAGUAUAUUCAUUUGUUCCUUAAAAACUUUGUUAUCAUCAAAAUCCAAGGGAUAUUAACAUUCUUGUUCCAACAAUCUCCCCAUUUUUGAUAAUGACAAACUAAUGUAUUUAAGAACAAUGGUGGUCAAUUUAACUAACUUGACAACAUCAGAGUUUAAGGUUUGUAAGCUCCCCUUGAGUCUAAUAGCCCAUAGGUUAAGUUUUGUAAGCUCCCCCUAAGUCAUAUCCAAGUUAAUUUAAAAUUAUUUUAAUAAAAUAAUGUUCAAAUCAAAUCAAUAUCCAAAUAAAUAAGGGUCAGGUAAAUUAAAAGCAUUUCGAAAAAAAUAACUUUAAUCCUUUUAAAUAUUCCCAUAAAUUUCUCCCCAUUUUUUCAUCAACAAAAUGUGAGAACAUACAUGUGAGUAUAGAAGAAAACAAAAAAAUAUUUUAGGAAUGGAAAAAUAUGUGGUAAAAAUUGAAUUCUGAUAACACAUAGCAAGAACAACCUUUGCUCUUCUCAAUAAAGAGAAACAACUAUAAUGGUUAGAAUAUUUCUGCAUUUCUCAAGAUGGUCACACGUCAUUCAAGAAUAUCAACCAUCAGAAGUAACCAUUGCAGGCAUUAAAUCAUCUGAAGUUUCAUCUUCCAAUUACAACAUACAAGUCACUCAACCUCUUCUAUAAAAGCAUACCUUCAUAGACAUACUUCUCAUUUUUUCAACCAAUUAUUCUUAUCUUCAUAACAACAUGAUUUAUCCAUCAGAGAAGACUAAGAGCAUUAUCUGAAUAAAGAUCAAUGAUGAGGGUAAAAUUGUUACUAUGGAACAACACCUUUAGCAGUCCACUGAGGAGGCCUAGCCAUCUAGGUCAGCUGCUAAAAGGGGUGCCCUAAUGUAAUACCUCAAAAUUUGUCCCCCUCAUUCAUGCAUUCAUUUUUAGAUCAUUUAACAUUUCAUAUUGCAUUGCAUCGUAUCAAUCAGAAUCAGAUCCAAGAAGUUUGAAUAUCAUCCGAGACACUUUGUGGGUUCUAAUUGGGUGAUCAGUCAACACAAGGGAAUGACUUGAGUUACUUCCAACAUGUUCAAAUGGAGUCUAUUCACCAUUCAAAACACUAAUCUCGAAGGAGCAAAAAGCAGAGCCUGAACUGUCAUGCUCGCUAGGCGAGCAGAUCCUUCGCUAGGCGAAGUGCACGCGUUUUGAAAUAUAACAGAAACGUUUUGGGCUUGAGUUGCCUUCAUUUUGAGCCCACAAAGUCACAAAAAUUAGGCUAUAUAUUCUAGACUUCCAUAUCCCAAAAGGACACCGGAGAGAAUUAGAAAAAACCCUGGAAAAGAAUAGUGAGAGAAGAGCUAACAGAGUUCAGAGCAGCCCCAGAGACUGAAAGGAACUCAUCUGCAAAGAGCCAAUUCCAUCUCAUAUAAACCCUCAGAUUACUUUGCAAACCCAACCGGGCAAUUCAAUUUCAUUCGAUCCCUCCAAUCAGGUUUGCCCUAUUUCCAUUACUAUAUGCUUUCAAUUUGAAUGCUCUGAAUGUAUGAGGUAUUAUCGUUAGACUUUGCCCACGGGUUUAAAUAUGCAUGAAUGUGUAAACAAUACCUUGAAUGUUUAAUCGUUUCGUUUCUGAUGGAUACCAUAGGGUUUGGGUUGCCGAGAUCGAACUAUUAUCAAUGAAGAACCCAAAACCCGCAGGCGUUCGCUAGCACCUUCGCUAAGCCUUCGCUAGGCGAAGCAGUAGCGAGCGUGACAACAUUUGUUUUUUUUUCUGUUUUCUCUAAUCCGUUUUGUGUUCGUCAUGGCAUGUUUUCUCCUGAUUACCCCAUCGUGUUUCUCUAACCUGUUUGUUGAGUUUUUGUGAGGGCUCACAUGCUCUUGCAGGGAUAGCUUGCUUGGUAUUCCACUUUAUUUGUGGGAUACCACUUGGAGGUUUAUUCCGAUUACCUAUGCUGACUUGCUUUCUUUGAUGGUGCCAGCUUGAGAGAUCUCCGGGUUUCUUGUCUCUUUAGUUGCUGUUACUUCGGAUCUUUAUCCGUGUGGUACUUUUACAUCUUUCCCGCAUUUUACCGCUUUCUUAGCUGGAAGACCUCAAUAGGAGGNUCCCUGCAAUUCAGAGUUUGCCUCAUUUCCAUCUACUAUAUGCUUUCAAUUUGAAUCUCAUGAACUGUUCAUGCUUAUUGUAUUAUUCGUUAGACUUUGCCCACCGGUUAAAUAUGCAUGAAUAUGUUAAACAAUACCUUGAAUGUUAAUCGUUUCGUUUCUGCAUGGGAUAUCACAUAGCGGUUUGGGUUGCCGAGAUCGAACUAUUUAUCAAUGAAAGUGAACCCAAACGCCGACAGGCGUUCGCUAGCACCUUCGCCUAAGCCCUUCGCUAGGCGAAGCGCAAGCGUAGCCGAGCGCUGACAACAUGCUUUGUUUUUUUUCUGUUAUUCUCUAAUCCGUUUAGUGUUUCGUUCAUGGAUGUUUCUUUGCCCUGUCAAUCCUAAACCCCAUCGCCUGUUUCUCUUAAUCCUUGUAUGUUCGAUUUUAGUGGUCUCUCGAGGAAUGCGACAUGUGUUCAUAUGCAGGCAAUGCGAAAUUUAGUCAUUGCCUUUGGCUAUAUCAUUUAUUUGUGGGCAUUACUACUUGUGACUGUUCUACCUCAAAAACGGCAUUACCUGAUUGUCCUACAAUGACCUUGCUUUCUUUUUAUAGCGACUGCAAAGCCUUUGCACGAGAUGCGUCCGGACGUAAUUGCUUAGAGUGUUCUUCCUCUUUUAGUUGCCUGUUAUACGUCGGUAUCUUUGAUGCCGAUGUCGAUUUACUUUUACAUUCUUUCCCGAUUUUACGUCUUGUCCUUAACUGAGGAAAGUGACGCCUCCAAUAGAGCAAUAAUUUCUUAUUUUUUUGUUUUGCUUAUCCUCCUUAUGUGCAACAUAAGAUCUGCCAUGCCAGAAUUGCGAAAGUGGGACGUAUACAAUAUAGUGAAGGAUUAUUAAUCAUCCCCCGUUAUCUCAGCCUUGUGUCGCUUUUUCUAUUUAGAAUGCUUCAGACAACUACGUGUCGAUGCUCAGAACAAAAGCCCAAGAUUUUGUUCUAACAAUCCGGGUUACUUAGGCUCAGUCGUGGAUGUAGUGUCUGGCUUUCCCAACUGUUCUGAAUCCCCGAACACCUUUAUAGUCAUGCAGCUCACCGUAUCGCUCUAUGUUAAGAGCUAUGAGGUCUUAUGCUCACUUACACCGUUUUGAAUCUGCUCCCUAGACGUUCGCAAUGUCAGGUGGUUCAGAACGGCCAUUUGAUGUACUAUUCCAUGGCUGUUGCGAGGUUGAUAUGACCCGUUUUCGCUAGGAUCUAAUAGCCACUAUACCUCAUGUACUCGUUUCCUCUGUGGCCCGGUGUUGGCGUUGUCUUGAUUGCCAUAUUUUUUGGGCAUGGUGUGAUCGUCUUCCCCAUUAUGGAUUUGCUAGGGCUUCGAUUAGUGAUGGCUUCUCGUUGCGGCCCAUGUCAAUUUAUACAUGUGAGUAAGGAAUUCACCACCUGUUCCAUUGUUCUUAGGACCUUCUCCUUUAUUAUGUCACAUGAAGCAUUCCUACACUAGACUCCAACAAACAGACAAAGGCUCAUUUGAUAUUUCCCAUUAUUAUCCUACCUUAUAAGAACACUCAUUGUAGUAAUAUCCUUCUAUACUAGCAGGAUGACGAAGUAUAGCUUUCUCAAAGGUCGGAACGACACACCGGUUAGUAAAUCUUGACGUUAGUAAUGUCUCGUGUCUUGUCCAUUCUCAAAAAAACACUAAAGCCCACUUACCCGUAGUAGGGUGUCUGACCGAACUACGGCUUGCUCUGAUUCUCAUUCCAUGAGGCUCGAGAUACGUAGGCAUAAGAACGCGAUGGUGUCUUUAGCGAGCUUCACUUAACCCACUAGGUAAGCCAGCUUACGAAGACUCUGAUUGCUCAUGUUCAGAUGCAGCCAUACGAUGCGCAGUGUAUGCGACAUCCAAGUUGUCGCAUCGAUUAUAUUCAUAAUUGCCCCCCUUUUUAGUAAAUAGUUAACAUUACGAUAACCUACACUCUUUAGACAAGAACAACAAAGUGGAUCCUUAGGAUACUCGCGCCGGUCCAGGGGUGCUAAAUAUCCGUUCCUUAACGCAUAGAUCGAGCUCGCCGGAAACCCAAGAUUGAAGGUUGACGCGAGACAACCUUGUCUUUUCUGUUUGCUUCUUGUUCUAGGUUCAUUACACUCUUGAGUCGUCUUUUCCUCCUUUGAGUAUGAAAAUAACGACUUCCUUAGAGGUGUGCGCACAUACUUCUGUUCAUCAUCUUUACGUACGCCGGUUGAUAUUUUUUUCUGACCAUUUCUACCUUCUUCUUAUUCACAGUUGCGACGUAGGCGUGGCAGAUAAUUCGCGCUUGAGGGGACUACUCUUCCCUAGGAAGAAUCCCGGCUUCCUAGUCGUUUUGUUUGAUCGUGGGGUUUUUUUUUUUAUUAUCUAUUUCAUAUUAUCAUAAUUCUUUAUCAAUGUUAUGGUCAACCAAAGCUAAUCCAUAAAAAAUGUUUUUUUUGGGGGCGGACCGGGAAGGAGUGGGGGGGGGUCAGGCGUCAGGAGGGGGCGGGCGGGGGUGGGGCGACACUACGCCCGGGGCGCUGUGUUCCUAAUAAUUUGGUUUUUUGUUCGCCCACCGCCCCAGUUGGCUCGGUGUUAUUUAUUUAUGCUUUGCAUACUUAUCUGGUGUGUUGCAUCCUAUUGCGCUUUUACUGUCGUGUGUAGUGUGCUGGCUGUGUUUGUGUGUUGUCCCUGUCGGUGUUGGGGUCACAGAGGCUAAAGGCCCAAUACACAGGCCUAUCAGGGACUUUAGGACAUCUAGGAUAGAGUGAUACAUGGGAACGCGGAGUUAUGGCCGCCAAGCGCGAACAUGGUAUCAAGCAGCCAGUUCAAAUUCUGAUGGGUUUAUCGUUGCAUACCACCUGGGUAUGCAUAUGUCAGUAUUCUUGAAAGGAUUGUUUAUCCUACGUUCUCUUGACUCUUACCCUGCGCCUAGAUUACACCCGUGAGUGGGGCGGGAUGAAUCAUUUUACAGGUACUGAUGGGACUUGUUCUGUUGGUGCCGUCUCGCUGAUAGUGAUUUUGUGUGGGUCCUUGUGGUGACCGUUACGCUUCUCGAAGUAUGGGUUGCUAAAUUGAAUGACUGUGUUCUUGUUCCCGGUUCGAAUCAUGCUGAAGUUCUGAUCUGUGCCUCGUGAUAUACAACCAACCGUUUUCUGGAGCCAAAGUUUUGAUCUACGUAGUACAUUCUUCAGUGGGUUUCUCUUCAGACAGUGCAACCCAACAGAUAUUCAAGCAGAUACAACAACCUUGAUUUGCAUGUCACUGCAUUGCAUCACAUCAUUCGCAUUCAUAUCAUUCACACAUGUUUAUCCAUUUAUGUGGGGUUUAUAUCCUCUUCUUGAUUCUAGUCGGGGUUUUUCUGGUACUUUUUAAAAGGGAUAUUUUAUCUGAUGAAAGACUGGAAUCAAGGGGGUAGAAUACCUGUGGAACUGAUAAACAUGUCAUUGCAUUUGCAUAUUCAUUAGCAUGUCUUGCAUAACAGGUACCGUCGCAGUGUUCUCAGUUUGUUAGGUAUUCCACUGGUAGGAUAGUUGACUUAGGCAUUCACUGAUACGGUACCCGAAGGAAUCAACGAUGAAGAUGGGGAUAGUGAUUGCGACAUCGAUAACUGGUUGCGUCUGAGGAUCCCGGGUGAAGUUCUCCGCAACUGGUCUUCUGAAGAGAUUAUCCAAGUCACUCUUCUUGAAGAGUAAUUUUCUUUGUUUAUUCAUGCAUAUCCAAGUCUUACGUUCCGCCCAGAGCGUAAUGACUCAUUGUAGGGCUCAUCUAUGCGAAUACCUGCAUUUUUUAUCAUCAAUAAAGGACGUCUUUUUGCAUUCAAAUAUUUCGUUCACUGUUUUCCAUUUUUGCAGUUUUCAAAAAUCAAAAAAUAUUUGGCAAUGUUUUGUUUAGUUUUCAUUUUUUCACACUCAUAAGCACAUACCAUCACUCAUGCAGAUGCGCAUCACCGGAUCCUAUUGAUAACGAUUCUGCUAUGGCUCGCUUCGACUUUGAAAAUCCAAUCUUUCAAGCUGAAGAAGGGGGUGAUGAAGACUGUGAACUCCCUGAAGAACUUACCAGGCUAUUAAAACAGGAAGAAAGGGUCAUUCAACCGCAUCAAGAGUCUGUGGAAGUGAUUAAUCUCGACACCGAGGACGUCAAGAGAGAAAUCAAGAUAGGGGCGUCUUUGGAAGAUAAUGUGAAGAAGGGGUUGAUUGAAUUGCUGCAAGAGUAUGUUGACAUCUUUGCUUGGUCUUAUCAGGACAUGCCAGGGCUUGACAUAGAUAUUGUGGUACACCGUUUGCCUCUCAAAGAAGGUUGUCCUCCGGUCAAGCAGAAGCUAAGAAGAACAAGACCAGAGAUGGCUGUCAAGAUAAAGGAAGAAGUGCAGAAACAGUUGGAUGCAGGGUUCCUAGAAAUGCAAACAUUGUUCUAGUACCUAAGAAGGAUGGAAAGGUACGGAUGUGUGUCGACUACCGGGAUCUGAACAGAGCUAGCCCUAAAGAUGAUUUCCCAUUACCUCACAUCGAUGUUUUGAUAAAGAACACAACUCAGUUCUCGGUAUUCUCCUUCAUGGAUGGCUUUUCUGGCUAUAAUCAAAUUAAGAUGGCACCAGAAGACAUGGAGAAGACAACUUUCAUAACCCCAUGGGGCACCUUCUGCUACAAGGUGAUGCCGUUUGGUCUGAAAAAUGCCGGAGCAACAUAUCAGCGAGCGAUGGUGACUCUGUUCCAUGAUAUGAUUCAUCAUGAAAUCGAGGUUUAUGUGGACGAUAUGAUUGCCAAAUCUCAGACAGAAGAAGAACAUUUGGUGAAUUUGCAGAAACUGUUUGAGCGUUUGAGGAAAUUCAAACUGAGACUUAAUCCGAACAAGUGCACUUUCGGGGUGAGAUCGGGAAAAUUGUUGGGUUUUAUUGUUAGCGGAAAAGGGAUUGAGGUGGAUCCUGACAAAGUGAAAGCAAUACAGGAAAUGCCUGAGCCAAGAACAGAGAAGCAAGUCCGUAGUUUCUUAGGGAGGUUGAACUACAUUGCAAGGUUCAUCUCUCACCUAACAGCCACGUGUGAGCCAAUAUUCAAAUUGUUGAGAAAAGAUCAGGCUAUCAGGUGGAAUGAUGAUUGUCAAAGGGCGUUCGAGAAGAUAAAAGAGUAUUUGCAGAAUCCUCCUAUCCUUGUGCCUCCGGUCCCAGGGAGACCGCUGAUUAUGUAUUUGACAGUACUAGACAAUUCCAUGGGUUGUGUUCUCGGUCAACACGACGAGACAGGUAGGAAAGAGCAUGCCAUCUACUACCUGAGUAAGAAAUUCACAGAUUGCGAGUCGAGAUACUCAAUGCUUGAAAAAACAUGUUGUGCACUUGCAUGGGCUGCUAAGCGAUUGAGACAAUACAUGCUGUCUCACACAACCUUACUGAUCUCCAAGAUGGAUCCAGUCAAGUAUAUAUUUGAGAAGCCAGCUCUCACCGGAAGAGUUGCUCGUUGGCAAAUGGUACUGACAGAGUACGACAUCCAGUAUACAUCCCAGAAAGCCAUCAAGGGGAGUAUUCUGUCAGACUAUCUUGCUCAACAGCCGGUUGAAGAUUAUGAGCCGAUGAAGUUUGAUUUUCCAGAUGAAGACAUCAUGUUCCUCAAGAUGAAAGACUGUGAAGAGCCAGUUGUUGAGGAGGGACCUGAUCCAGACGAAAAGUGGACUUUAAUGUUUGAUGGGGCCGUCAAUGCCAAAGGAAGUGGAAUUGGUGUUGUCAUUACCACUCCGAAAGGUGCCCACAUGCCUUUCACCGCUCGUCUGACUUUUGAGUGCACCAAUAAUGAAGCUGAGUAUGAAGCCUGUAUCUUGGGUAUUGAGCAAGCCAUUGAUUUGAGAAUCAAGACUUUGGACAUCUUCGGAGAUUCAGCUCUGGUAAUCAAUCAAGUGAAUGGUGAUUGGAACACUCUCCAGCCUACUCUGGUCCCCUACAGAGAUUACACGAGAAGACUGUUGACUUUCUUCACAACAGUAAAGCUGUACCAUAUACCUCGUGAUGAGAACCAGAUGGCAGAUGCUCUUGCUACUCUAUCCUCCAUGAUCAAGGUGAUCCGUUGGAACCAUGCUCCCAAGAUCGACGUGAUGCGCCUUGAUAGGGCCGCGUAUGUGUUUGCUGCUGAACUGGUAGUUGAUGACAAGCCCUGGUAUCACGACAUCAAGUGCUUUCUGAAGAAUCAAGAGUACCCUGCAGGGGCAUCCAACAAUGAUAGAAAGACUUUGAGAAGAUUGGCAGGCAGUUUCUUCUUGAACAAAGACGAUGUGCUGUAUAAGAGGAACUUCGACAUGGUUUUGCUCAGAUGCGUGGACAGACACGAAGCAGACAUGUUAAUGCAGGAAGUUCAUGAAGGCUCCUUCGGUACUCAUGCCGGCGGACAUGCAAUGGCUAAGAAAUUGUUGAGAGCGGGAUAUUACUGGAUGAUCAUGGAAUCUGAUUGUUUCAAAUAUGCUCGGAAGUGCCAUAAAUGCCAGAUUUAUGCUGAUAAGGUACAUGUGCCGCCAAAUCCUUUGAAUGUGAUGUUUUCGCCGUGGCCUUUUGCUAUGUGGGGCAUCGAUAUGAUUGAAAAGAUUGAGCCGACCGCCUCCAAUGGGCACCGCUUCAUCCUUGUUGCCAUCGACUAUUUCACCAAGUGGGUCGAAGCAGCAUCAUUCGCGAAUGUCACCAGACAUGUGGUCGCCCGAUUCAUCAAGAAAGAAAUCAUUUGUCGCUUUGGGAUUCCCGAAAGAACCAUUACUGAUAAUGGUUAUAAUCUCAACAACAAAAUGAUGAAGGAGUUGUGCCAGAACUUCAACAUUCGGCAUCACAAUUCUUCCCCUUACCGCCCUAAGAUGAACGAUGUUGUUGAGGCGGCAAAUAAGAACAUAAAGAAGAUCGUGUAGAAGAUGGUCGUUACAUACAGAGAUUGGCAUGAGAUGCUACCCUUCGCCUUGCAUGGGUACCGUACUUCAGUACGUACGUCGACCGGGGAAACCCCUUACUCCCUCGUGUAUGGUAUGGAAGCAAUCCUACCUGUUGAAGUGGAGAUUCCUUCUCUAAGAGUCCUGUUGGAUGUCAAGUUGGACGAAGUUGAAUGGAUUCGAACAAGGUUCAAUAAGUUGAGUCUUAUCAAAGAGAAGCGAAUGGCAGCCAUUUGUCAUGGGCAGUUGUAUCAGAGUCGGAUGAAGAGAGCCUUUGAUCGAAAAGUGCAUCCUCGGUGUUUACAAGUUGGAGAGUUAGUGUUGAAAAUGAUCCUUCCUCCUCAAACAGAUCACAGGGGCAAGUGGACUCCUAACUAUGAUGGACCGUAUAUUGUCACCAAGAUUUUUGAUGGUGGAGCCUUAAUGCUUGCAACGAUGGAUGGUGAAAACUUCACUUCCCCUGUGAACUCAGACGCAGUUAAAAAAUACUUCGCAUAAAAUAGACCCGCUGGACAGUAAAAAGAAUAGUCCAGGCAAAAAAUGGGCACCGAGAACAAGAAAUGAAAAGUUCGAGCAAAAUUAGGGAUUAAAAUAAAAGAUCGACACCGGUAAGUGAAAACCUGAAAAGGCACUUAGGCAAAGUACCGGUGGAUUGAAAACCCGAAAGGGAUCAGCAAAAGUUAGGGAUUAAGAAUGACUGCGUUCUGAGUAGUUUCUGAAAUCUCAUCUCGUGAAUGACUGAACUUUUGAGGAUAGGAAACAUAAUAUCUUUUAUAAGCUGAUAUAUUGAGAUCUUGAAGCGACAAGUAUAGCUAGAUGGAACCCAUAGAAUCAUUUACAUUGAUUAGAUUAAUUUUGUUUUAUCUUUUGUCGAUACUUUCAGGGAUGGCAUUCUGAUUAAAUGCUAUUUAGAGCGCAGUCAAUCAAUAAAUCAUGUCAUUCAGUACAUACUGUGUCCAUUUUCAUUUUAUGUUUCUGUUGUGCCAAAAAUGACGUGAAUUUUGAUAACUAUUGCAUACAUGAAACAUAAGAGCUUAAGGUACAGAUGCUUAAUAGAACAUUUAAAUUUCUGUAAAUUCUAAAGUGCUUCGGAAUAUCUAUACAUCAACUCGGGGCAUUACUUAGUUCCAUCGAUGAUGCGACAGUUUUCCCCUAACAGUCGAAGUUGGUAUUUGCCCUGCAGAAUGAUCAGAGCAUUGGAUUCUUCGAUCCCCAAGGGCCUCACUGUUGUACCUCCCCCAAGCGGUUGUUCAGAAUAUACAUCCCAGUAGUUUGACGGUGCCCAGAAUAUAUAUCCCCAGCGAUUGAACAGUGCCAGACUGUAUCUUGCACGAGAGCGGCUGUCCUGCAGGGUUCGAUGCCAGAUCGAUGAUCUCGACGCCAGAUCCAUGGUCUCUUUUCUUGAAGCAGAAUCUCGGUACCGUAUCGGUGUUGCUCCCCUGCUAAGGGUUCUCUCUCGGCAAUUAUUGGUUUGCCAGAACAUUACGCUUCCCCAACAGCAGGUUUUCAGUGCCCGUUCUCUCCUAGUUCAGAGUCUUGGUAUUCACAUUGCUAGAACUACUGUGUGGCGGAUAUUUCCAAGAGUUCUUGUGCUAGCAUCUCCAACAGCGCUCUGUCAGGGCAGGAAGUGGUGAUCAUUUCCCCGCAGAUUCCCUUGCUCAGCUUGGCAUUCUACAAGUAUUUACCAUCCUUGCAUGUAGAUCAAAUUGCAUUUUGCAUCUCCCAAAUCGGUAGAUUUCAUUUUCCAUGGAGCAUUACGCCAUUUGAGAAAAAUUCAAAACGCAUGUAAGCAUAAAACAUUCGUAUGCCCAAGUGAUAAGCCAGAAGUUGUUUCCAGUACUCAGACUGAAGAUUGUUCAUGACUUACCUUUAUUAUCCCCAGCAAGUGUCAUUGGCCCAUGCGCCGCCUCUAUUAUCUUUCCCUAUUUAUGCCGAUGCCGACAGGCAUGAAGUUUCCGAUAUUCAGACCGAAGUGGCGUUCAGGCCAAGUUUCCGGUAUUCAGACCGAAGUGACGUUCAAGCCAGUUUUCCGAUAUUCAGAUCGAAGAAGUUUCUGACGUUCAGGCCAGUUUUCCGAUGUUCAGAUCGAAAAAGUUUCCGACGUUCAAGUCGAUGCAACUUGUGGCAUUCAGGCCAAUUUUCCGAUAUUCAGAUCGAAGUGGCAUUCAGGCCAAUUUUCCGAUAUUCAGAUCGAAGUGGCAUUCAGGCCAAUUUUCCGAUAUUUAGAUCGAAGUGGCAUUCAGGCCAGUUUUCCGAUGUUCAGAUCGAAGCUGUUUCCGACAUUCAGGUCGACGCAACUUGUGGCAUUCAGGCCAGCCUCUCGGUGUUCAGACCGAUAUUAUCAACCUCAUAUCUUCCAAUGUUCAGAUCAAAGUCAUUUCCAGUAUUCAGACUGAUGAGCGGCAUUCAAGCCAUGGUUAUUUCUGUGUUACCAUUUAUUUUGGUAUCCAGGUUAACAUUCUUUUUCGGUAUUCAGACUGACUCUCCACCGUUACCAGACGGAUUCUUCUUUCAAGACCACCUCUUUGCGAUUCUGACAGGCAUUGUUACUUCACUUCACUUCAGUGCAAAUUUUCGGGCUUUUAUUGUAUUCAAUCCCUUGAUACCUCGAAAGUGCGAAAGCCGCUGCUAUCUUCUUUUCGGGUCUCCAGUUGAUUGAAUAGGGGCAACUGUAAUACCUCAAAAUUUGCCCCCCUCAUUCAUGCAUUCAUUUUUAGAUCAUUUAACAUUUCAUAUUGCAUUGCAUCGUAUCAAUCAGAAUCAGAUCCAAGAAGCUUGAAUAUCAUCCGAGACACUUUGUGGGUUCUAAUUGGGUGAUCAGUCAACACAAGGGAAUGACUUGAGUUACUUCCAACAUGUUCAAAUGGGGUCUAUUCACCAUUCAAAAUGCUAAUCUCGAAGGAGCAAAAAGCAGAGCCUGAGCUAUCAUGCUCGCUAGGCGAGCAGCAUGGUUCGCUAAGCGAAGCUGAACUGUCAUGCUCGCUAGGCGAGCAGAUCCUUCGCUAGGCGAAGUGCACGCGUUUUGAAAUAUAACAGAAAAGUUUUGGGCUUGAGUUGCCUUCAUUUUGAGCCCACAAAGUCACAAAAAUUAGGCUAUAUAUUCUAGACUUCCAUAUCCCAAAAGGACACCGGAGAGAAUUAGAAAAAACCCUGGAAAAGAAUAGUGAGAGAAGAGCUAACAGAGUUUAGAGCAGCCCCAGAGACUGAAAGAAACUCAUCUGCAAAGAGCCAAUUCCAUCUCAUAUAAACCCUCAGAUUACUUUGCAAACCCAACCGGGCAAUUUAAUUUCAUUCGAUCCCUCCGAUCAGGUUUGCCCUAUUUCCAUUACUAUAUGCUUUCAAUUUGAAUGCUCUGAAUGUAUAAGGUAUUAUCGUUAGACUUUGCCCACGGGUUUAGAUAUGCAUGAAUAUGUAAACAUUACCUUGAAUGUUUAAUCGUUUCGUUUCUGAGGGAUAUCAUAGGGUUUGGGUUGCCGAGAUCGAACUGUUAUCAAUGAAGAACCCAAAACCCGCAGGCGUUCGCUAGCACCUUCGCUAGGAGAGCCUGCAGCGAAGCUUCGCUAAGCCUUCGCUAGGCGAAGCAGUAGUGAGCGUGACAGCAUUUUUUUUGUUUUUUGUUUGCUCUAAUCUGUUUUGUGUUCGUCAUGGCAUGUUUUCUCCUGAUUACCCCAUCGUGUUUCUCUAACCUGUUUGUUGAGUUUUUGUGAGGGCUCACAUGCUCUUGCAGGGAUAGCUUGCUUGGUAUUCCACUUUAUUUGUGGGAUACCACUUGGAGGUUUAUUCCGAUUACCUGUGCUGACUUGCUUUCUUUGAUGGUGCCAGCUUGAGAGAUCUCCGGGUUUCUUGUCUCUUUAGUCGCUGUUACUUCGGAUCUUUAUCCGUAUGGUACUUUUACAUCUUUCCCACAUUUUACCGCUUUCUUAGCUGGAAGACCUCAAUAGGAGGCAAUGUUUUCUUUUGUUUGUUUACUUUUGUGCCCAAAGACCUCCAUGCAGAGGAAAUUGACGGAUAAAAGGGAUUAUUAAUCAUUCCCCCGUUAUUCAGUGUGUCGUUCUUUAUGCUCACACUACGUGUCGACGCUUCAGAACAAAAGCCCAAGAUCUUUUGUCCGGUCAGUCAGUGGAUAGGGUUCCACCUUUCUGAAUCCCCACUUUUUGUCAUGAGCUCACCCUGUCCAGGGUUAAGAGCUAUGAGGUCUUAUCCUCAUUAUCCUUUUGAUCUGCUCACCCUGACGUUCAACGUCAGUGGUUAAGAGCCCAUUUGAUUACCUAUUCCAUGGCUUGUUUGUCGAGGUUGAUACGACCCCUCUUGACUAAAGCCCUACCCAUGUAUGUUUGAGCCCCCUUGUUGGCGUGUUUGCUUUAUGCAUAUUUAUUUUGUAUGGUGUGAUCGUCUCCCGAUAGGAUUGCUUGGCUUUGUAUAGUCUCUCGUUGCAUGUUAAUUAAGGUAGCAUUGUUCCUUCGUUUAUGACUUCCUUUUUGCAUGAGCAUUCCUAAAACACAAACAAACUCAUUGAUUUUUCUUCUCCUAAGAACACGUUAACUCCUUCUACUACAGGCGAGUAAGUAUCCAAAGGUCGAGCAUCCGGUAGAUUGCAUAGUAACGUCGUUCAUCUAAAAAACACAAUCCUUAACCCGUAGGUAGCCGAACUACGGCUUGCUCUGAUUCUCAUUCCAGAUGAGAUACGUAGGCAUAAGACGCGAUGUCUUAGCGAGCACACUCCUCUUUAACCCAUAGGUAGAGCUACGAAGACUCUGAUUCUCAUGUUCAGAUGAGAUACGUAUGCAGUGGAUGCGACAUCCGUGCGAGUCAUUUUCUUUUGACCCCCCUUUUAGUAAAUAGUACAUUAGAUAAACCUACACCCUUUAGACAAGAACAACAAAAGUGGAUCCCGUAGAGUACUAUGGAUGCGUAGGGGUGCUAAUACCUUCCCUUCCCAUAAUCGGCUCCCGAACCCAAGAUUUGGUUGCGAGACCUUGUCUUUUCCUUUCCUCUUUUCAGGUUUACUUCGAGCAUUUCCUUUCCCUCCUUUGGGAUAAAUAACCCACGGUGGCGACUCUUCUGUCAUCUCUUUUCUCGUCGGUUGUUUUUUUCGCAUUCCUUUUUUCAGGUUGCGACACCUAAGAGUAAGGAAGCCUGAGAAGAAGAAGAAGAAGAAGAUGAAGAAGAAAAAGAAAAGAGUUCCAAGAAGGAUGUUUUUCUACGACUCAGAUGAAGGAAGUGAGGAGCGUGUUGCUGACUAGGAGGAUUCUUUUGUAGCUAGGGAUUAUUGUUCUGAUCUGGACAAACUUAUGUAACCUCAAAAAUAUUGUACUCUUUCCAAAUGAUUAAUGGAAAAAAUUCCCUUUUUGCAAUGAUUUUUCUAAUUAAUUGUUUCAUUUGAAUGCGUUAAUCGUUCAAGAGAUAUUCAAAAAUAAUUAAUCCAAAGAAUAAUACAAAGAAAGCAAGGAUUAUUUCUAACAAUUAUCAGAUAAGGAAUAAUAUUUCCCAUAAAAUAUAGCUUAGAGAAAAUCACAUAAGCAUAAAAAAUAUAUCAUGUUGUCAUACCCUAAUUUUUAACCCUAAGAUCCCACAUAUCAUUUGCAUCCUUGUAUAUAAACAAGAUCACAUCUUUGUCCCCUCCCUCUCAUCCUUUGGGUUUGCCUUUUGUAAGGAUCAUCAAGCACCUAUUUGUUGGUGUUUUACCUUUGUGCUUAUAUAUUCAUUACUUAUUUAACCACUAAUCAAAAUAGCAAAAAAAAUAUGUCUUGUUUCCUUUAAAUUUAUUGUGCAAGGUAAGACUUUUCAUUAAGAGCAUCAAGCAUGACUCCUCAGCUUGGGUUUUGUUGAUUCCUCGAGUCAAAGUGUGUUCAAACAUUGAUUAUCAAGGUGAUAUCUAUCAAAGCAUGAUCUCUAAUAUCCUCAAGCAUCUUUCAAUCUCAUUUGGAUCAAGAGCAACUCAAAGUCUCGUUGCUUAUUUAUCAAGAAAAGUCAAAGGUUCAUGUGUUUAUUUCCUUCUUCAACAAGUUACCUCAAAAUUUGAGAAAUUUAAUCAAGAUGAAUUCAAGGAAACCUUAUUUUGAGUUCAUAUGAUCAUCCAUGUACCUUUAAAUGCAAGAAAGGUCUAAGUACACAAGUUUAUUCCAAGAGGUUUGACUAAAAAGUCAACAUCUGAAGUCAAAGUUCAAAGGAUCACAACUCCUUCAAUUCUCAAUAUUUUUGAAUGCUUUUUUUUUGCAUAUGAUUCUUAUCAUUAUACUUUAAAACUUAUCUUUACAUGACAAAAUCCAAUUAUUCUUGGAGGAUCAUCAAAUGUUUGGAGACAUUAUAAGUCAUUUGUGGACUUGGUGAAAUUUGACCUAUUUUCAAGUGACUUUUUCUCAACUCUCAAGGAUUACAAAUCUUUCAAUUUUUAACAUUUGAGGUUGAUUAUUUUUGCACAAUAUCAUUUUUGAUGCCCUCUACAAGUUUUAUUCAAGGAUAGAAGUAAAACUAUGCUUGGAACGCCAUGGAAUUCUUUGAGACAUUAUAGGUCAUUUUCAUCCAUUUGGGACUUAGAUUUUGCUAAGUUACAUUACCAGAUUUUCGUGCCAACUUCAACGUGUCACAACUUUGUGCUCAAGCAUCCAAAUGAGACCUUUCUUGGAAUAUUGUAAUCUUUUAUAUGAUGCCAACAAAUUGCAAGAAGAAUGGGAUCAAAGAGCCUCCUGAGCAAGAUGCCCCAGUGAGUUAAACAUGGUGACUUAGAACUAAAAAAAUCACCAUGAUCCAAAUUUUGAACUUCACUAAUCUCAAUUGCAAGCCAAGUUACCAUGCAUUUUGGACCUAAACAUGUUCAAUCAAGUCUCCGAAAGUUAAUUGACUCUUAAAACACAUCAUUUGGAUGAGUUUUGAUGGUUUGCAAGUCACACUUUUCUUACAUUCUGAUCAAAUUCGUUUUGCACGAAUUGAGUAUCAUUUCACAUGUAUUUGGAUCCCAACACAUUCCCUGUAAAUAGAGCAACAUGCUUGUUUCAUUCCUAAGCUUUUGAGAGCCAAGAAACCCCUGUUUCACUAUGAAAUUUUUCCAAAAAAUUGAGCUAUGGUGUUUUGAAUUCCAACUUGUUUCAAUCCAAUUUCUUGAUUCCAUUAGCAUCUUCGGUCUUCUAUGAAGCUUUUGCAACAAUUCUCAAGCUCUGAGACCUUCUAAAGUGACCUUCUAAAGUAUCAUUUGGACAAGAUAAUUAUGAGCAUCAUUUAAACUCAAACAAGUUACCACAAUGUAGUCCUCCUCUCUUUGAUACUUUCCCCUAACUUAUCUGGUGUUGAUUGAUCAUGUUCAUUAUUUAAUUUUAUUCUUCGUGGCUUGCUUGUUUAUGAAACUUCUCUGAAAUUCUCCAUACUCAGAUUAGAUAAAUGAAUUUUGGAGCAUGCAGUUGAAUUCGUGGUGAGGAGGCGAUCACAUUGAUGGUAGUCCCGUACUCUGAAUUUGAAAAACGAUGAAACUUCGGUGAGGGAUCAUCAGGGAAGAUGGCCGGAGUUAUCUCAAGUCAUCUGAGUUUUCUUACACGUUGGCAAUUUGAAAUAUUCUGAUUAAUCCAUUUUGAAUUAGAUCUCGUGUUUUAUCUUGUCUAAUGUUCAUCGUGCACCCUAGCCCGAGGAUUGUUGGAUCUGCCACGUCAAUUAAUGAGGCAAGAUCUAACGCUCAGUGUUUUUUCUGAUUUUAUCUCUUUUUAUUUUUUCAUUUUUAAUUGCAUUUUAUUUUAAAAUUCAUAGUAAAUUUAUUUUUCAUACAAAAAAUCGCAAAAUAAUUUCUAAAAUUAUCUUUUAUUUUUCUUCAUCUGAUUUUUAUUUUUCCAUAUUUUAUUUUCUUGAUUUCCUAUUUUUCUCAAAUUUUCUCUUUUCUCAUUUGUUUUAAUUGGUUUAAAAAUACUUUUAGGCAUUUAAAUUUUCUGAAAAAUUUAUUUUAUGUCUCUUAUUUUAUUUCCAACCUUCCAUAAUUUUCUUGGCCAUUUAUUUGGUGUUUUGAAGGGCUUUAUGGAUUUUCUCUUUUAUUUCCCUUUUAAAAUUCAUUUUAAAAAUAUUAUUAAUGCAUUUUCUUUUAUUUUCUUGUAUUUUAUAUUUGUUUGACCUUUGUUUAUUUCUGUUGGCCUUGGAUCAUGGUUGUUUUGAUCAUAGGUUUCAUCAAAUUUAAUGGAUCUCUGGUGUUGAUGGGGUUAAAACCCUAAUUCACCAAAAUGGAUGAUUGAUUUUGAUGAUGACUUGAUCAAUCCUUUGAUCCAAUUUGGGUUUGGCUUAUCUUCUUCUUCUUUAUCCCGUUCUUCUCUUUUUUUUCUUGAUCAAUUGGAUGGUUUGUGUCCAUCUUGUUCAUGAUGUGUGGAUUGAUAUUUGAUGAACUUUCAUCAUUUCAAAUGUACCUCUUAAUUGAUCAUGGAUCAUUUAAGGUAAUUUUUUAUGAUCUUUUUAAUUUUCCUUCAUGAUUUGAGGACGCUUCGGCCAUAAUGUGACCUUCUUUUGCAUAAUGGUAGCAUGUACUUCUACCCUUAUUUUUCUUCUUCUCAUCUUCCUUUGAGGAAUUUAACAACCAUUUGGGAUUGCCAUGAUCCUUCUUUUUGGAUUACUUAUUUCUUUGUUCCCACAUAUAUCUAUUGUACUUUUUGAUAAACAACCUCAUAUCUUCUUCAUUGGAGUCUUCGUUAUCUUUAGUUUCACAAUCACUAAGCUCAUUAUUUGAGGUUUUUUAACUCAAAGUAUUUAGAGCAAUGGACUUUUUCUCUUCCACCUUGUCUUUACCUUUCUUUUUCUUCAUCUUUUUUUCAUACUUUUUUUCCAUGUUGUUCCAAGAAAGUGAGUUCUUGCUCAUGUUCUUCCAAUUUAUCAAACAAAGUAGUAAAAUCAAGUGCUUUAAGAUCAUCCACUUCUUUAAUCAUGAUGACCUUUGGUUGUCAUUCCCUGUUAAGACAUCCUAAAUCUUAGUUAGUAACAAUAGCAUUGAAGAUAAGAUUACCUAGAGCAUUCAAUCUAUUAAUAAGAUAUGUGAAUCUCUUUUGCAUUUCGGAAAUGGUUUCACCAUACUUCAUACGAAAGAGUUCAAACUCUUGGUUUAAUUUGUAGAUUCUAGCUUGUUUGACUUCAUUAGUUCCCUCAUGGGCAACUUCUAAUGCGUCCCACAUAGAUUUAGCGGUUUCACAAUGAGAAACACGAUAAUAAUCAUCAACACCUAAAGCAGAUAUGAGAUUUUUUUUUGCUUUCCAAUCAUGUGACCAUAACUUUCUAUCAUUAUCAUUCCAUUGACCUUCCAGUCUUGGUAUGAUGAAACCUUCACCAUUGGCCAUUGUAAUUUUUUAGGACCAUUGAUGAUGACGUCCCAUACACCCUUAUCAAUGGAGUUGAUAUGGAUAUGCAUACAAGCUUUCCAAUAGCCAUGAUUUUCACUGGUGAAAUAGGUGCUCUAUUAUACGGCCCUUUAGGUUCAGUAGCCAUUAUCUAAUAAGAAAAUCUUAAGACCAAAAAUAAUUGGAGCUCGUGAUAUCACUUGUUAGACGAUAGACCUAGAUCUAGAGGGGGAGAUGAGAGAGAGUACACAAGAUUGCUUAAGCAGUUCCCAAUCGAACUCACUAUGGUAUGUCUGCGCCUCAAUUCAAAUUCGAAUUAAGUAUUAAAUAAUAAUCUACUUUGCAAUGUAUUUGUACAAGAGAUGUGAAAUUAAAUCCAACAAACCUAACUUUAUUUUUGACUCUAGCACCUCCAAAAACCUUGAUCAAAUAUUGAUCAAGACACAACAAUGCCACUUCAAUUCACGCUUGUUGUGCUACUUCUUGGCACCGGCCUCAUUGUCUCAAGGCUUUCACCGCGACUGAAUUAAUCCCAAGAGAAAAACCUUUUAAACCCAAGAUUUGCAACACAAUCCACCGUUUCACGCUACUUCUUGCACAACACACCUAGUCCAAGGAUUUCACUCGAUCUGAUCUGAAUUGCAUAACUUUGUCCAAAAUCUUCAAACCCUAAAUAUCUUGAAGGAAAAAUCCCACAUCGGUUUUUAUAUUUAAUCCUCAAAGAUCUUAACCCAAUAUUCUCGGUACAAUAACCUAAUUAGACGUUCUCAAUCCUAAUCUAAAUAGGCACAAAAUCAAAAAAGAUAAUAUGUAGUUUGAUUGUGUGUAUGCAUAGUUUGAAUUGAAGAUAAUGAGUUGCUUUGAAUCCUGAUUCAUGUAACGUUUUAAUCACUCUAAAAACCUUACUAGAGAAUGAUGGCAUGUACCUAUGUAUAUAUAUAUAUAUAUAUAUAUAUAUAUAUAUAUAUAGUAUAUUAUAAUAUAUUAUAUAUAUAUACUAUAUUAUAUAUUAUAUAUAUAUAUAUAUAUAUACUAUAUAUAUAUAUAUAUAAUAUUAUAUAUAUAUUAUAUAUAUAUAUAUAUAUAUAAUAUAUUAUAUAUUAUGGUCAUUCUGAAGACUCGGCACGGUGAAGNNNNNNNNNNNNNNNNNNNNNNNNNGGGGGGGAUAUAUCCAAGUAAAAUUUAUUUGAUAACCUUUGAAUAAAAAAUCAUAAGUGUGGAAACUAAGUUUCAAAUUAUUUCUAGAUCAAAAAUCGUCCGAACGCGCACCUACUAUUGAAUGAGCUCAGAUAUCGUAAAGUGUCAAAUGGUAUGUUAAAUCCACAAGUUGAUAACAAAUACUUUAAACAACAAAUUAAUACUCCAUUAUGUAAAGGGUAUAUCCCAAUGAAAUAAGAAACAAAAAACAGAGUUGAGACAAUUUUUCAAAACACUUUGCAUGCGAUCAAUAAAUUUGAUUUUAGUAAUAGUGUUGUAUUUUAGACAAUACAAUCACUACAAAUGUAUAUGAAUUACUACAACAAUACAAAUUUAACAAAUGCUUCAAAAAUUAUCAUCCAAACAACUGUUGAUAAGGGAUCAAAGUAAUCAAUAAUUUGCGAAACAAAAAAUAAAAGAUAUAUAUAUAUACUAUAUUAUAUAUAUAUAUAUAUAUAUAUAUAUAUAUAUAUAAUAUAUAAUAUAUAUAUAUAUAUAUAUCAUAUAUAUAAUAUAUAUAUAUAAUAUAUAUAUAUAUCUAUAUAUAUAUAUAUAUAGUAUAUAUAUAUAUAUAAUAUAUAUUAUAUUAUUAUAACGAUACGAGAGAGAGAGAAGAGAGAGAGAGAGAGUACACACACACCCCAUGGCACGCAUUCAUUAUCGUUAGAGCCGUUAGGAAAGAGUACACACACCUCCUCUUCUCUCUCUCCUCUCUUCUCUACCUAACACAGUAUACUAUAAAAUAUAUAUAUAAUAUAGUAAUAUCUAUAUAUAUAUAUCAUAUAUAGCUAUAAUGAUAAUAUAUUACAUAAUAUAGAUAUAUAAUAACUAUGACUAUAUAAUAUAUAUAUAUAAUAUAUAUAUAUAUAUAUUAUAAUUUAUAUAUAUAUAAAAAAUAUCUUUUAUAUUUGUGUUCGCAAAUUAUUGAUACUUUGAUCCCUUUAUCAACAUUGUUGUUUGAUGAAAUUUUUGAUCAUUUGUAAAUUGUAUUGUUGUAGUAUCAUAUACCAUUUGGUAGGAUUGUAUUCUGAAGAAUCUACAAACACUAUACUAGUAAACUCAAACUUUAUUGAUGCGCAAUGCAAAGUGUUUGAAAAAUUGUCUCAACUAGUUUUUUGUUCUUAUUAUUCAUGGGAUAUACCUUUACUAUAAUGGAUAUUAAAUUUGUUGUUUAAGUAUUGUUAAUCAACUUGUGAUUAUAACAUACAUACACAGCCGUUUACGCAUAUCACAUAUAGUAGGUCGGUCGACGAUUUUGAUCUAGGAAAUAUUUGAAACUUGUUUCCACACUAUUAAUUUUCUAAUAUAAAUUUUCAAAUAAAUUUAGGGAUAUAUCCCCCCCCCCCCCCUUAGAUCUAGGUCUAUCGUCUAACAAGUGAUAUCACGAGCUCCAAUUAUUUUGGUCUUAAGAUUUUCUUAUUAGAUAAUGGCUACUGAACCUAAAGCCGUAUAAUAGAGCACCUAUUUCACCAGUGAAAAUCAUGGCUAUUGAAAGCUUGUAUGCAUACCAUAUCAACUCCAUUGAUAAGGGUGUAUGGGACGUCAUCAUCAAUGUCCAAAAAAUUACAAUGGCCAAUGGUGAAGUUUCAUCAUACCAAGACUGGAGGUCAAUGAAUGAAAUGAAGAAAGUUAUGGUCACAUGAUUGAACAAAAAAAAAUCUCAUAUCUGCUUUAGGUGUUGAUGAUAAUUAUCGUGUUUCUCAUUGUGAAACCGCUAAUCUAUGUGGACGCAUUAGAAGUGCCCAAAGGACUAAUGAAGUCAAACAAGCUAGAAUCUCAAAUUAACCAAGAGUUUGAACUCUUCGUAUGAAGUAGGUGAAACAUUUCCGAAAUGCAAAAGAGAUUCACAUAUCUUAUUAAUAGAUUGAAUGCUCUAGGUAAUUUAUCUUCAAUGCUAUUUUACUAACUAAGAUUUAGGAUGUCUUAACAGGGAAUGACAACCAAAGGUCAUCAUGAUUAAAGAAGUGGAUGACUUAAAGCACUUGAUUUACUACUUUGUUUGAUAAAUUGAAGAACAUGAGCAAGAACACUUCUUGAAACAAUGGAAAAAAAGUAUGAAAAAAGAUGAAGAAAAGAAAGGUAAAGACAAGGUGGAAGAAAAGUCCAUCUGCUCAAAUACUGAGUUAAAAACCUCAAAUAAUGAGCUUAGUGUGAAUAAAGAUAAACGAAGACUCCAAUGAAGAAGAUUGAGGUUGUUUAUCAAAAAGUACAAUAGAUAUAUGUGGAACAAGAAAUAAGUAAUCCAAAAAGAAGGAUCAUGGCAAUCCAAAUGGUUGUUAAUUCCUCAAAGGAAGAUAGAGAAGAAGAAAUAAGGGUAGAAGUACAUGCUACCAUUAUGCAAAGAGAGGAUUAUGCCGAAGCGUCUCAAAUCAUGAAGAAAUUAAAAGAUCAUAAAAAAUUACCUUAAAUGAUCCAUGAUCAAUUAAGAGGUACAUUUGAAAUGAUAAAGUUCAUCAAAUAUCAAUCCACACAUCAUGACACAGAUGGACACAUGAAACGCAUCCAAUGAUCAAAAAAAAAGAGAGAACGGGAUAAAGAAGAAGAAGAUAACCAAACCCAAAUGGAUCAAAGAGAUGAUCAAGUCAUCAUCAAAAUCAAUCAUCCAUUUGGUGAAUUAGGUUUACCCCAUCACACCAGAGAUCCUAAAUUUGAUGAACCUAUGAUCAAAAAACAACCUGAUCAAGCAACAGAAAUAAAACAAAGGUCAAACAAAAUUAAAUACAAGAAAAAAAAAUGCAUUAAUAUAUUUUUAAAAUGAUUUAAAAGGGAAAUAAAAGAGAAAAUCCAUAAAGCCCUUCAAAACAACAACCAUCCUAAAAGAAGCAUGUACAACAACAUAGGCCAAACGAAAACUAUGGAAAGGGUGGAAUAAAAUAGAGCUACAAUAUAACCGACAAUUCUUUCAGAGAAAUUUAAAUGCCUCAUAAAGUAUUUUUAAACACCCAAUUAAAUAUAGAAGAGCGAAAUUGGAGAAAAUGAGAAAAUGGCGAAAUAGGAAUAGAUAAUAGAAAAUAUGGAAAAUAACAGAACUGAAGGAAAAAUAAGAAAGAUUUUAGAAAUGUAUUUUACGAUUUUUGUGUAUGAAAAAUAAAUUCUUACAUUAAUUCUUUAAAAGCAAAAUGCAAUUAAAAAUGAAAAAAAUAAAAGAGAUAAAUCAGAAAAAAUCACUGAGCGUUAUGAUCUUUGCUAUCAUUAAUGACGUGGCAGAUCCAUCUACAUCCUCAGUUGGCUGAGGGUGCAAUGCGAACAUAAGAAUCAAGCAUAAAACUACGAGAUCGUAAUGCAAAAUGGAUUAAUCGAGCAAUAUUUCAAUUGCCAACGUAGGUAAGAAAAACUCAGAUGACUUGAGAUAACUCCGGCCUUCCUGAUGAAUCCCUCACCGAAGUUCAAUCGUUUUUUUCAAAUUCAGAGUAACGGGAGUGAUACUGAAGCUAUAGUCUUUAAUAUUGCAUCAUACAUGCGACCUAUACCAUCUAUUUGUCGACCUAAAGUUUAAAAAAGUCAUCUAUAAAUUAACCUAUAGUCGUAUGUUUCGACCUGUGAUGAAUAUUUUUCACUUAAAACUAAGUUUAUCAUGCUUAACACAAUAUUUUGAUGCACAAAUAUUUUCCAGACCAUUUACAACAAUGUUGACAUACUUCCUAAUGCAAGAAUGCUAAAGUGCACAACUAGACUCGGAUGAUAUCGUCCAAUGUACAUAAACAUUAUUUCCUAGUUUUGACAUCAUUCAAAACAUAUGUAAACGGAAGAAUGUACUCACAAAGAGUAUUUGUCUCAAGAUCUUUUCUAUACCUCGACUAAGUGUUUAUUACAAAUCAUGCUCUGAUGCAAACUGAAGGUGAGAAAAAUAAAGAAGAAGGGAGACUGAAUUGUGUAUGCCAAAAACUUGUUUCGCUUUUGAUUAUACAAUUUCAUAACCUAAACAACGUUCAAAGUCUGAUAUUAGAAAUAGUAACAUCAACAGAAAUAAUAAUGAUCAGAAGUAAAAACAAGUAACACACAAAUAUUAUCCUGGUUCCUCUCCUAAACUGAGAGAGUCUAGUCCCCUUGCCUCAACAAGAGAUGUUCGCUAUAAUCAACAGAUUACACUUUGCUAAAGCAUACUUGCAAGAGACUUCACUUGCUCAAUCAACUAAGAAAAAGACUUCUGCUCAAGCAACCUUGCAAGAGACUUCUGCUCAAUCAACAUAAAAAUACACUUCACUGCUCAUCUACACAAACAAGGUACUUCUUAGCUCAAGCACGCAGGAAAUGGACUUCUUCUUAUUCAACCUAGAAAGAGACUUCACUACUCAAGUACACAGACAAGAGACUUAUUUUCUCAAGCACGUAUGCAAGAGACUUCCUCUAGUUUAAACAAAUAGUUUAGUAGAAAUGAUAACCACUAUACUUAGAUACACAAUCAGAAGUAUAAUAGUUGGCAACAACCACAAAGAUUUUUAGCCUCUUAAGAUUUCUAAGAUACACAAAGAUAAGAAUCUUAAGAUCUUAUGCAAUAAUAGUUACAAAUGAAAUCUCAGAGUUAUGCUCCAUAUAUUAUAUUGUGUUAUUUGUACACCUUCCUUCAAAUGUUAGCAUGCACAUUCGUUUUUUAAAUACUUUAUCAUCAUCAAAACUCAGGGGAUAUGAACAAUCUUGUUUCAACAUUUUUUCCAUACAUAUAAUUUCUUACACUUGUGUCAAGGUACACUACUACAAAAAAUACAUUUAACCUCAAACGUGAAGUUUAUUUAGCCUCGGUUACAGAUGCGAGGUAACAAAGAGUGUUAUGAAAAGCUGCCACUUUACCCCUCGGUUUUAGAAUAACCGAUGGAAUAGUUGAAAUAGCCAUUGGUUGGAUGCCCAAUACUAGAUUUUUUAUAUUUUCAAAACUAGCGUCAUAUACCUCUCGGUUUAUGAACAAAAUUGAGGGGAAANNNNNNNNNNNNNNNNNNNNNNNNNNNNNNNNNNNNNNNNNNNNNNNNNNNNNNNNNNNNNNNNNNNNNNNNNNNNNNNNNNNNNNNNNNNNNNNNNNNNNNNNNNNNNNNNNNNNNNNNNNNNNNNNNNNNNNNNNNNNNNNNNNNNNNNNNNNNNNNNNNNNNNNNNNNNNNNNNNNNNNNNNNNNNNNNNNNNNNNNNNNNNNNNNNNNNNNNNNNNNNNNNNNNNNNNNNNNNNNNNNNNNNNNNNNNNNNNNNNNNNNNNNNNNNNNNNNNNNNNNNNNNNNNNNNNNNNNNNNNNNNNNNNNNNNNNNNNNNNNNNNNNNNNNNNNNNNNNNNNNNNNNNNNNNNNNNNNNNNNNNNNNNNNNNNNNNNNNNNNNNNNNNNNNNNNNNNNNNNNNNNNNNNNNNNNNNNNNNNNNNNNNNNNNNNNNNNNNNNNNNNNNNNNNNNNNNNNNNNNNNNNNNNNNNNNNNNNNNNNNNNNNNNNNNNNNNNNNNNNNNNNNNNNNNNNNNNNNNNNNNNNNNNNNNNNNNNNNNNNNNNNNNNNNNNNNNNNNNNNNNNNNNNNNNNNNNNNNNNNNNNNNNNNNNNNNNNNNNNNNNNNNNNNNNNNNNNNNNNNNNNNNNNNAUAUAUAUAUAUAUAUAUAUAUAUAUAUAUAUAUAUAUAUAUAUAUAUAUAUAUAUAUAUAUAUAUAUAUAUAUAUAUAUAUAUAUAUAUAUAUAUAUAUAUAUAUACUCAUUACAUUGUUUAUAUAAAAUAUUAAUAAAUUAAUUUGUUUACAAACUAAAGUGUUUAUACAAAAUAUUACAUUGUUUACGCAUAAUAUUAAAGUAAAAAUGUUGAAUCUGAUUCAUCGUCAACAUUGUCGAUAAAGAACAAAUGUUGGAUAUCUUGGGGAAGAGCAAAUGUCGGGGAUCCUCAUUUCAUUGAUAUUGAGAAAGAUAAAAUGUCUGAUAUAAAACAAAAAAAGGUUAAAUAUAGAAAAUAAAUAUUCAAUUAUAUGAUUAUUUAAGAACACAAACAUUGAACCCAGAUAAUUUUUUCCUCUUGCUAUCCAUCAUAUAAAUUUUUUCCUAAACAAAAUAAACAUUUUUUUAAGUUUCAAAGUUUUCAUGUCAAAAGUUUCAUUAUCAAUUUUUAUUAUUCAGAAUGCUUUUAUAAUGAGUAUUUUAUUCGAGUGUUAAUACUCAUUAAAUGGACGAUAGAUAUUUAUUUAAGGUCGAUGAUGAAUCUCAAUAAACACGUUUAUAUUUUCCCUCGAUUAUUAUUUAAAAUCGAGGUAAAAUGAAUUUCUUAUUAAACAAAAAAUACAAUAAAAUAUUUUCUAUUCCAAGCGUCACAUACCUCUCGGUUUCUUGAAAAAACCGAGGGGACAAUCUUUUUUUUAAAUGACAUUGUUUACGUAGAAUAUUAAAAUAAAUUAUUUAAACAAAUUCAGAUUUUGACAAUGGAUUCUUGGAGACCAACAAAUAUUUUCAAAUUUCUGAUAAGUUAUCUAUUCCAACAAAGAUAAUCUUUUUGUACUUGCAUUCCAUCCCAGAGGGAUUUCAGUAUCUUGAAAAAAUAUUUUCAUGGAAAAUACUUUCACAUAAAAGAUUACAAGAUGAUUGUGUUUACGAAUAACUUUCUCAAUAUUGUCAACCAAGAAAAUCAAUAAUUUUCUCAAUGUUUUAUUUGGUUGACAACAUAAGAAGAUUAUUCCAAAAAUAUAGCAACAACAUCAAUACCAUUAUGUUGGGAUGAAUUGCAAUAGUAGAAAAAAAUAUUUUGUUAGAGAUAGAAGAACAUUGUAGAUUUUUUCUGUCUUGCAAUCCAUCCUAAAGAAUGAUGUGUAAAAGUUUGGAGUGGUUAUUACUUAUAAGUUGCUGAGAUUUGAAGCAUGUGAUCUUUAUUAAAAAGUUAAAUCAUGGCACACCUUGAUAUUUUAUCUCGAUUUUUAGUUAGGUGAGGUGAAAGUUUUAUCAUAAAAUAUAUUAUUUGUAAUUGUGGUAUCACAAAUUUUAUUGGAUUCCUUCUUUAUUUUUAUGUGCUAGCAACACUAUUUUAAACUUCUCAUAUUUUUCACAAAAUAUUAAUAAAUUAAUUUGUUUACAAACUACAUUAUUUACACAUAAUAUUAUAUUAUUUACACAUAACAUUAAAGUAAAAAUGUUAAAUCUGAUUCAUCGUCAACGUUAUCGGUAAAGAAUAAAUGUUGGAUAUCUUGGGGAAGAGAAAAUAUCGGGGAUCCUCGUUUCAUUGAUCUUGAGGAAGAUCAAAUGUCUGAUAUAAAAAAAAAGUUAGAUAAAUAAAAUAAAUAUUCAGUUAUAUGAUUAUUUAAUAAUACAAACAUUAAAACCAAAUAAUUUUUUGCUCUUGCAAUCCAUCAUAAAAUUUUUUUCUCAAACAAAAUAAACGCUUUUUUAAGUUUCAAAGUUUUCAUGUCAAUUGUUUCAUUAUCAAUUUUUAAUAUCCAGAAUGCUUUUGUAGUGAGUGUCUUAGGUUUCACACGGAUCACUAAUGACAAUGUCUCGAGCGUUAAUACUCAUUUAAUGGACGAUAAAGAUUUAUUUAAGGACAUUGAUGAAACUUAAUAAACACACUUAUAUUUUUUCUCGAUUAUUAUUCAAAAUCGAGGUAAAAUAUAUUUCUUGUUAAAUAAAAAAUACAAUAAAAUAUGUUCUAUUCCAAGCACUACAUACCUCUCGGUUUCUGUAAAAAAUCGAGGAAAAACUUUUUUAAUUGACAUUGUUUAAAUAGAAUAUUUAAAUAAAUUGUUUAAACAAAUUCAAAUUUUGAUAGUGGAUUCUUGGAGACCAACAAAUAUUUUCAAAUUUCUGAUAAGUUAUCUAUUCCAACCAAGAGAUUAUUUUUGUACUUGCAAUCCAUCUAAGAGGGAUUUUUUUUGUACUUGCAAUCCAUCUAAGAGAGAUUUUAUUAUCUUGAGCAAAUGUUUUCAUGGCAAAUACUUUGACAUAAAAGAGAACGGGAUAAUUGUGUUUAUGAAUAAACUUCUCAAUAUUGUCAACCAAGGAAAGCAAUAAAUUUUUCAAUGUUUUAUUUGAUUGACAACAUAGUAAGAUUAUUCCAAAAAUACAGCAACAACGUCAACACCAUUAUGUUGUGAUGAAUUGCAAGAGUAGAAAAAGUAUUUUGUUCAAGAUAGAAGAACAUUGAAGUGUAAAAGUCUGGAGCGCCUACAUUUAAAUUAGGUUUUUGAUAAAAUCUAAUUAACAAAUACUUUUAUAAUAAAAUCUAAUAAUCAAAUAUCUCAAUUGUUAAAUAUAACCGAAGGAAUAGAUCAUUAAUUUAAAAAUAUAAAAUAAAAUAAAAGAAAUUAAGACACCAUUUUUAAAGAAAUAAAAAUAUAAACAGUUGUUACUGAUAUUCGAAGCAUGUGAUAUUUAUUAAAAAUAUAUAUUAUUGUGCGUCUUGACCUUUUAACUCGAUUUUUAGUUAAGUGAGAUGAACAUUUUGUUAUAAAAUAUAUUAUUUGUAAUAGUGGUACAAUAAAUUCUCAUGACUCUAUUCUUAAAGGAUCUAAAUUUUGAAAUGUAAUGAUCAAACUUUUGACAAUUAUAGCAUUAAUUUUAAAAUUUGUAAUUCCAUGCGUGUAUGUCUUGCUUCCACAUCCAAGAUGUCGUGAAACACAUCAUCAUCAUCAUUGACCUCUACCUUAACUUUAUUGACAUUUAUCAUUUCAAUAAAUUUCUUCAUUCUUUAAUUUUUCUUUGCAUCUUAAAUAUUUUGUCGGUGAUCUCUUCACCUUGUGGUUCUUCUUGUAAGCUAAUAAUGGUCCCUUAAAUUUUUCUAUUGUCACAUUCUCUAAAUCUUUUAUUUCUUAGAUUAUCAUUACAAUGUACUCAAAUUUUGGUGAUUGACAUGUAACAUUUUGAUUUUCAUGUAGUUUGAUGAAGUGUUUAUGUUCAUAGUCUUUUUUUUCAUGGAUUCAUCAAUUUCGAAUUUUAGAUCUGGAUUUUUUAAAAAGCUUUUUGAUUAUAUAUUAAACUAAUUCUUAAAUAUAGAUACAAUUAAUAAUAAUAUUAAUAUUUUUUAUUAGUUUAUUAACAAGAAGAGAUUAGGAGAGUAUACUUAUUAUUUUUAAUCUUUAUGUUUAUUUACGUAAAAGAAUAAAACAUGUUUGUAUAAUAUUAAUUUUAUACGUAGUAUAUUUUCAGACAUUUAAAAUCAGAAACUCAAAUUAAAGUAAGUCACUACGUAGAUUGAUACAACAAUACAUCAAAAGACAGUGAAUACAGUAUGUAGAUCUAGUACAAGAGGAUAAGACCACAUGUAAGAUGAUCCUAUAUCACUCCCAUUUAGAUUUUAUUCGUAAUAUUAAACUCUCAUAUACUAGUGAGAAGUUUCUAUAUGAUAAUCUUGAAACCGCACCAUCAUCUUCAAAACUUAAUGCUGUCAAUAUAACAAUGGAAAAAACUUGUCAGUACUUAAUUUCAUAUGUUCACAUGCUUCAAAAUAAGAGUGAGAGAGUGUUAUAAUUAAUAGAUGAAGAAAACAAAAACAGUUAAAGCAGUUUUACAGUUAGUUACAUUUUCCAUUUAGUUGGUUAUGCUUUCUGUUAUGCGGUUAGUUACAAUCUCUUUCAACUAUAUAAUUGUUGUAAUCCCCAUUCAAUGCAUAACAGAAUACAGUUCUGCUCUUUAUCUUCUUCCUCUUCACUUUAAGCUUUUCUUACUGUUCUGUCAAUGGCUUUCAUGACAGAAGCAUUUCUUACUGUUCUGUCAAUGGCUUCCAUGACAGAAGCAUAAUAUGGUAUCAUCGUCUUCGAUCCUCUUUCCACACUUCCGCACCGAUCACUUUAAGCUUCUACUUGUGCGAUCCUUCUUUUGAUUUCAGCAUGCCUCCGCGUAUUGAUCCUACCGCAAAUCGAAUCACAAAUUGUGAUGUUGAUUCGGUUUACUAUGUUCAUCCCAGCGAAGGUCCUAAUUCUGUUAGUAUUCAACCUCAAUUGAAUGGUUCGAAUUACAUCUCGUGGUCAAGAUCCAUGGAAAGAGCUCUUGGAGCUAAGAACAAGCUUGCGUUCAUCAACGGAUCCAUUCAAUGGUUCGAAUUACAUCUCGUGGUCAAGAUCCAUGGAAAGAGCUCUUGGAGCUAAGAACAAGCUUGCGUUCAUCAACGGAUCCAUUCGCGUUCCAAGUAUCACCGAUCUUAAUCGAUCUGCGUGGGAACGAUGCAAUUGCCUUGUUAAUUCAUGGAUUCUCAAUUCUGUAAGUCCUGCUAUCGCACAAACCAUUAUUUUCUUGGAAAAUGCUCUUGACGUUUGGAUUGAUCUCAAAGAAAGAUUUGCUAAAACUGAUAGAAUUCGCGUGUCUAAUUUGCGUGUUGAGAUUAACAAUCUCAAACAAGGAAACAAAUUUGUUCUUGAUUAUUUCACUGAACUUCGUGGUUUAUGGGAAGAAUUGAAUUCUCAUAGACCAAUCCCUAGUUGUACUUGUGCUCAACAAUGCAGAUGUGACGCUAUGCAUAGUGCUCGAGAAUUUCGUCUUGAAGAUCAGAUUAUACAAUUUUUAACAGGAUUGAAUGAAAAAAUUUCUGUUAUCAAAACUCAGGUUCUGUUACUAGAUCCUCUACCAUCAAUCAACAAAGUAUAUUCUAUGGUUGUUCAAGAAGAGAACCAUAUUUUUUGUGGUGAGUCAACCUGAUUCUAAUUCAGACUAUUGAUGAAGCAAAUGACUUGUUAAUGCAUAUGAUCAAGGUUAAGUUUGUGGUAAUUCUUCAACUCUUAUGGUGGAGCAUCUAACAAUAAGAAAGAUGGCAGAUAUGCACUUUUUGUCACAGGACGGCCAUCAAUUGAUGUGUGUUAUCAGCAAACAUGGAUUUCUCCCAAUUUUACCAAAAGCAACAACAUCAGCAAUCUAUCAAUGUCUGUGAUACACACAAUAUGAUGAACACUGGAACAGAAGGUUCUCUCAAUAAUCCAACGUGCCAGCAUCACUCAAGAACAGUAUUCUCAAUUGAUUGGUUUGUUACAACAACACAAUUUCCUCCUUCCACCCUACCCCAAUCCAAGUGCCAACCAUAUUUCACUCAUUUUAGAUCAUACACCAAUUGAGAAUUCAGGUAAACUUUUUUGUUUCUACAGUUUCAUGCUCCACUUACAUCAAACCUGCUUUUUGGAUUUUAGAUCUGGUGCCAUGAUCAUGUUUGCUCAUCACUUAAUGUUUAGUUGUUACCAUAAAUCCGCACCUAUCAUGUUUUGUCUACCUAAUGGAUUUGUUGUUAUAGCUAAACAUGCAGGAACAAUCCAUUUUCCCUCACUUGAGCAGUUAAUAAUGUGUAUACACACCUGAUUUUUCCUUAAAUUGUGUCUGUUUUCAAACUCUGUCCAGUCCACUAAUUGCAAAUUCAUUUUUUUCUGCUAAUUGCUUGUUUAUUCAGGAUGUGAAAACGAAGAAAGAUGAUUGGUUCGGCAAAUCAAGUGAGAGGUUGUACAGACUCAGAACAGAUCUGGAUUCCAAUUCCUGCAGAACAGCAUUUCAAGGUAUUUCCUCAUCCAACCUCAUGUAGAAACCUUCAUUCCAAUAAUUGUAAAAUGAUCCCUAAACAAGCUUUGUGGCAUUUUAGAUGUGGCAUUUAUCCAUGAUAGACUAUCCAAAAUGGCCCAAUGUAUCCUGAUAUUUUCAAUGACAGUAAAGUUGUCUGUGAUGUUGUGCACUUGCUAGCAUAAGAAACUACCUACACUUUGAGUCAUUCUAAAGCUUCUCAAAAUUUGAAUUGUUGCAUUUUGAUAUCUGGGUUCUCUCUCCACAAAUUCUAUCCUUCACAAAUAUUUUUGACAGCAGUUGAUAUCACAAGUAAUUUACUUGAUCAUACUUUUUUAAAAAAUCUAAAGUUUCUCACUGUUCAACAAUUUGUUGCUCUCAUAGAAAAUCAUUCCAUACAUGUCCUAAGUUCAUCAGGUCUGACAUGGACCUGGAUUUCUUAAUCAAUUCUAUGCUCAAAGGCAUUCCAUCAGAUCAUGUGUUGAGUCUCCCAACAAAAUGCAAGAGUUGAAGGAAGCAUCAACAUUUGCUAUAUGUAGGUAGACCUUACUGCACAUUCAAAUUUACCUAAAUCCUAUUGGUCUACUAUAGCUAUAGCUGCGCCUUCAUUAUAAUAGAGUUACACCUCUACUCAAAACCAAUCCCCUUAUCACAUACUGCAUAAUAACACCAGACAUUAACCAACUUAAAGUUUUUGGACUUGUGCUAUGCAUCUACCUUGUCCAAUCAAAACUAAUUAAGAUAAGAGCUAGAAAUCAUUGUUCCUUGGAUAUGUUGUUGGUAUAUAGGCUCUAUCUACUUGAUCUAAAUUCAUUCAACAUUUUUAUUUCAAGAAAUGUCACUUACCAUGAACAGAUUUACCUUACCAAAACAGUCUUCAUCUCCACACCUCCUUGGGAAUAUUAUAGCACUUCAGUUCAAUCCAACCUCUGUCAUGAAACAUACUUCUGCUCAAAAUGAUUCUCCAUUCACACCAACUCAACUUCCAGUUACCACAAACUUUUCCUAACCACCACAACUGACUCAAUCCACCUUCCAGCUCCUGGUCAAUUCUAAUCCACCCCACCUCUAUACACAACACUCCACUCGGUGCCUCUACAAGAGUUAGAGCAUUCCCAUCAUUUUUGAAAGAUUAUGUCUGUUACCAACUUCACUGUCACAAUUGCCAUCCAUCUUGUAAUCCUACUCUCUUUCCCAAUUUUCAUUUACAUUUCAUAACUUUGUCUCCUAUCCUAAUCUGCGUUUCACCCAUAGUUCCCUAUACUACCUAAUCAUGAACUAAACAUACUCCGAGCUAGCAAAUUUUGAAAAUGCUUGAAUCAAGCACAUGAAGUUGAAACUUGCUGCAUUGGCCAGAACUGGAACGCUGGAAUUGUGGAUCUCCCCCUGCUUAAACCUCCUUGGUUUGUCGUUGGGUUUAACGAUCAAAGCCUAAAUCUGAUGGGCCAUUAGAAAGGUUUCUAAAAGCUCGGAUCUCGUUGUAAAGCGGAUCGCCUGUCGCCAGACCUGACAAAAUUACAUGUGUGCGAAAAAACACUGGCCGACAAGACAUGACAGGAAGAGUCGACCAACCGCUGCGUGUAUUGUAUCCCAAGGAGGCAGGGAAGGAAACGCUCGAAGUAACUGAAAAGAGGAAAGGGAACAGACAAGGUUCGUAACCAACUCUUGACCCGGGUUCGGGAGCGUGUAUUGAAGGGAAGGUAUUAGCACCCUACGCAUCCGUAGUUACCUUCUACCGGGAUCCACAUUUGUCGUUCUGAUCUAAGGCGUCGUAGUUUAUUUGUGCUGUUUACUAAAAAGGUAAUGAAAAUGACUCGCGCGGAUGUCGCAUCCACUGCAUACGUAUCUCAUCUGAUAUGAGAAUCAGAGUCUUCGUAGCUCGCCUGACCUAUGGGUUGGGUGAUGUGGCUCGCUAGACAUCGCGUCUUAUGCCUACGUAUCUCAUUCGGAAUGAGAAUCAGAGAAGCCGUAGUUCGGCUAACCUACAGGCGGUUAUGGAUUGGGUUUUGGACGAACGACGUUACUACGCAAUCUACCGGAUUGCUCGACCUUGGAGACUUACUCACCUGUAGAUAGAAGGAGUAAACGUUGUGUUUAGGAGAAGAAAAUCAAUGAAGGGUUAGGGUUGGUGAACUCACUUGCAAAAAAGGCAGUCCUUGACGAAGACACCUGUUAAAAAAAACACACAAAACAUUGCCUCCUAUCGAGGUCUUCAGCUAGGAAAGUAGUAAAAAUGCGGGAAAAUGUGAAAGUACCACGCGGAUAAAGAUCCGAUAGUACAACAGUUAGAGGAAUGGGAAAACCAUGGAUCCUUCAGCUCAACACCCAUCAAGAAAUAGUGAGUCAGUACAGGUAUCGGAAUGAACCUCCAGGGGUAUCCACAACAUAAAGUGGAAACCACGCAAGUUAUCCCUGCAAAUCAUGUGAGCCUCACAAAACUCAACAACACGGUUAGAGACAAAAAAUAGGGUUAAUCAAGGGUGCCCCCAAAUCAAAAUGUAACACCAUGAAUCAUGCCAUUAAAUUCCACAAAAGACAUGCAUCAACAGGGUAUCAAAUUCACCCAUAUCCUCAUACAUUUAGAGCAUUCAAUUAAAGGCAUAAAGAUGAUGGAUAUAGGCAACCUAAUUGGAGAGCUUGAUUGAAAUUGAGUUGCACCCGUGAGGUUUACAAACAAUCUUUUAGGUUUAUGUCGAGCAAGUGAUCUGUGCAGUGAGUUCCCUUCAGGGUUGGAGGUUGCUCUGAACUCUGUUAGCUCUUCUCCACUUCUUUUUCCUCAGGUAAUAGGAAUAGAAUCAAUAUUUGUUUCCCUGAAACUCUAGUAUUAUAGCCUAAUGUUGGUAGCUUGUGGCUUUUGAGAGAGAGUCAAGUCUGAGAUUUUCUUUUAUUUUCUUUUUUAUUUUAUUUUAUUUUAAAUAAAGUUCUUGGAUCUAAUUCUGUUGACAUGAUGAAAUGCAAUGUAUCUAAUGUUAAAUGACUAAAAAUGAAUGCAUGCAUGAGGUGUAAUGCGUAUGCUUCCAGAAAAUGAAGGUAAAUUUUGGGAUAUUACAGCAGAUACAACCAGAUUGAAGGACUGAUUACUUAGAUACUUUUCCACCUGUUGCAAGCUCACCACAGUUCGAUUGUUCUAGCUUUAGCUUAAUCCAUAACUUGCAUCUUCACCAACUCGAUGUCAAUAACGCAUUUUUUCACGGUGAUCUGACAUGAGAUGCUUUACAUGUUGAUCCCACCAGGUGUCCAAAGUUCUAAACCUAACCAGGUCUGCAAACUCAUUAAGUCCCUUUAUGGACUAAAGCAGGCAAGCAGACAAUGGUUUGAAAAAUUGACUUCAGUCCUCAAUGCUCAUGGCUACUCUCAAGCACCUUCUGAUCACUCACUGUUUGUUAAACAAACAUCAUCCACCUUUACAAUUUUACUUGUUUGUGUUGAUGAUGUUAUUUUAGCAGGUAACUCUCUACAAGAGUUUCAAACUAUGAAAGAUAUUCUUCAUCAGCUCUUCAAGAUCAAGGACUUGGGCAUCCUCAAAUACUUGUUGGGUUUAGAAGUAGCUCACUCGAAACGUGGUAUCUCCAUUUGCCAAAGAAAAUACUGUCUUGAUCUUCUCAAGGACUCAGGUUUUAUUGGCUCCAAACCAGCAAACACACCAUCUGAUCCAUCACUUAAACUUUGCCAAGAUGAUAGCCCUGCUUAUCACGAUAUUCCAUCUUAUAGACGACUCAUUGGCAGAUUAAUCUACCUCAAUACUACUCGCCCAGAUAUCACGUUUAUCACACAACAACUCAGUCAAUAUCUUUCCAAACCUUCUACUCAACAUUAUACUGCUGCUUGCAGAGUCUUGCAAUAUCUCAAACAAUGUCUAGGCCAAAUAUUAUUUUUUCCACGAAGUUCACCACUACAAGUAACAGGUUUUUCAGAUGCUGACUGGGCUGGCUGUGUAGACACACGUAAAUCUGUUUUCGGAUCAUGUUUCUAUUUGGGCAGCUCUCUUAUUUCAUGGAGAACAAAGAAACAAACCACUGUCUCUCGUUCCUCUUCAGAGGCAGAGUACCGUGCUUUAGCUGCAGCCGCGUGUGAACUCCAAUGGAUCUCGUUCCUCUUCAGAGGCAGAGUACCGUGCUUUAGCUGCAGCCGCGUGUGAACUCCAAUGGCUUUUGUACUUGCUUCGUGACAUGAACAUUGCAUGCUCUCAAGUCCCAGUUCUAUUUUGUGACAGUCAAAGCGCACUCCACAUAGCUGCUAACCCUGUUUUCCAUGAACGUACAAAACAUCUUGAUAUUGAUUGCCACAUUGUACGCAAAAAAGUUUCAGCAGGCAUAUUGAAACUUAUUCUCGUGUCAUCCAACAACCAACUUGCUGAUUUCUUCACUAAACCUCUCCUACCCAAACCAUUUCAUUUCCUCAAAGCCAAGUUGAACUUGAUCAACAUCUACUAAGGUUCAACUUGUGGGGGGCUAAUAGAUGAAGAAAACAAAAACAGUUAAAGCAGUUUUACAGUUAGUUACAUUUUCCAUUUAGUUGGUUAUGCUUUCUGUUAUGAAGUUAGUUACAAUCUCUUCCAACUAUAUAAUUGUUGUAAUCCCCAUUCAAUGCAUAACAGAAUACAAUUCUGCUCUUUAUCUUCUUCCUCUUCACUUUAAGCUUUUCUUACUGUUCUGUCAAUGGCUUCCAUGACAGAAGCAUUCCUUACUGUUCUGUCAAUGGCUUCCAUGACAGAAGCAUAAUAAUAAUAAGACAUAUGUGUUACAGUUGGUAGAGGUACUGAUCUUAUAAGGAAUGCUAACACCGCAAUUUCCAGGGAGAGCAGCAACAUUGUUAGUAUUCAAUUUUGAAAUAGAACCGGCAGCUGAUUUCAAGCAGUUACAGGCAGCCUGACGAUCAGGCGUCGUGGUGGCGGCACCAAGAAGCUUCUUCACUCCUGCACAACAUGGCGGUGGAGGACUGGCAUUAUUAGGAGCUUGAAGAUAAGUAACGCAUGGAGCCAAAUCACCGGUUACAGCUCCACAUGACAAAGCAGCUUCUGCCAUAGGCGCAAUAACUACCAUGCAGAUCACCAAAACAACACAUGCUAACUUCAUGCUUCUUGCCAUUUUUGUUUUCUUUCUUUUCUAUUCUUUUUCUUG